RNAcentral lists this ribosomal RNA (430 nucleotides) under bacterium enrichment culture clone ALO1_GLFRUDD03G8F3U. RNAcentral's name for it is "bacterial SSU rRNA". It matches the Rfam family "Bacterial small subunit ribosomal RNA", at positions 9 to 416 of the family's 1533-position model. The record is from RNAcentral.
GAGUUUGAUCAUGGCUCAGGACGAACGCUGGCGGCGUGCCUAACACAUGCAAGUCGAACGGAGAACUCAAAAAAGCUUGCUUUGAGAGUUCUUAGUGGCGGACGGGUGAGUAACGCGUGGGCAACCUCCCCCUUAAACCGGGACAACCCUUGGAAACGAGGGCUAAUACCGGAUACACUUUUCUGAGGACAUCCUCGGGAAAGGAAAGGCGGCCUCUGAAGAUGCUGCCGAUAAGGGAUGGACCCGCGUCUGAUUAGCUGGUUGGUGGGGUAAAGGCCUACCAAGGCGACGAUCAGUAGCCGGCCUGAGAGGGUGAACGGCCACACUGGGACUGAGACACGGCCCAGACUCCUACGGGAGGCAGCAGUGGGGGAAUCUUCCGCAAUGGACGAAAGUCUGACGGAGCAACGCCGCGUGUAUGACGAAGGCC